RNA transcript from Cryptotermes secundus, 2300 nucleotides. It is a transcript of the gene named muscle segmentation homeobox, with no coding region annotated. NCBI's taxonomy places the organism in Eukaryota, Metazoa, Arthropoda, Insecta, Blattodea, Kalotermitidae. The transcript has 4 exons. The record is from RefSeq and is a predicted model, not a curated record.
CCGUGUAGGUUGCUUAUGUCCCGUGCUAACUCUGGGCGCAGUGCUCAGGGAGAGGAGAAAAGGGUUCUUGCACGAUAACCCCCACCCCGACGGGGGACAAAAAGUAAUUUCAGUGACUGUGGGUACAAGUGCGUUCGUAUAUUUUUAUAAAAUGUAUAUCUAGGCCAGGUAUAAACGGCGCAGAAAUAAUUUUAAUAAUAUCAUUUAAACAUGAGUGAAGUGUGUCAGGUAGAAGGCGGUUGUGUGUAUGGAUAGCCUUGGUUGCUAUGGACAGCCCCACAGCUGCCACUGUCCUCACGAAACUGUGGCAAGUUACAGAGACAUAGCUUUGAGUUAAAAGAAGAGAACUGUGAGAUAGUGUUUGAGACUGCUCCAUGCUUGAGGAACCCCCGGCAGUUAGUAUGACCGUGUUGAAACUCAGCCACCACCACCAACAACUCUCUGCAGCUAAAGACAAAACCAACAGCGUCGGGAUGUCCACUGGUGGUGGAGCUGGAGGUGGUAUAUCCCCGGCUGCCCCUGCCAAGAUGGAUUCCUUAGUGCAGGUAGACUCUAAUGACGAAACAAACGCCAUGGCUACGGCGGGUGGCAUCGUCAAGGCCGGUGUUCAGCUGCCACCCCAACCGCAAGUCGCCAAUCACGAGCAGCAACAAACUACGAACUCUCGAACUAGCCACAUCAGUUUUAGUGUAGCGGCUCUGUUAGCUGACACACGGCCGACAUCUCGUCACAGGUCGUCCCCUGCCUUCCUUUCGUCACAAUCGCCACCGCUAGAAUCGUCUACCCUUUACCAGUCAGAACAACCCCUUACGUCUUCGGACGAAGAACUGAAUGACGACGAGUCCGAACAGGGAAGUGCUGUUGACGUCGAAGUUCUCAGGGACUCUAAUUCCCCUGUCAGCAUACCGACGCCUUUACAACCGGGUGGCAGGUUGAGUGGCAGUCCGGCGGAUGUGUUAUCGGCAAGGUUUAUGUUCGCGGGCGGUCAUGGCCCCGGUGGCGGCGUCGUGACUCCCGUGAGACCGACUCCAUUCUCUGCCCUCGCUGCGGCUGCGGCCGCGUAUUCGGCCGGCCUUCAACACCACCACCCCGCACCACAUCACCAGCCCACCUCGUGGGCCGCGUCCACCCUCGUGGGACACUACCCUGGUGCCAUGUUUCCUGGACCGGCGGCAGCAGCUGCGGCCUUUGCGGCUGCAGGGCUGGCAGGUUCCCCAGAUUCGGGAGGUGGCGACCCCCCUAAACUGAAAUGUAAUCUGAGGAAACACAAACCGAACCGGAAGCCGCGGACACCUUUUACAACUCAGCAGCUGCUGUCUCUGGAGAAGAAGUUCCGGGAGAAGCAAUACCUGAGCAUCGCAGAGCGGGCCGAGUUCUCUUCCUCGCUGCACCUCACUGAGACACAGGUGAAGAUCUGGUUCCAGAAUAGACGCGCCAAGGCGAAACGACUGCAAGAAGCCGAAAUUGAGAAGUUGAAAAUGGCAGCUGUAGCAGCCGCACGGCCGCCGCACCUGUACGGCCCUGGUCCCCACCACCCCGCACUGCAACAGUACUUCCACCCCCACCACGACCCCACUCUACUCGUCGGUCCGGCUCACCACCUUACAGCCGCCGCUCUUCUCGGUAGACACCAUAUGCCACCCUUAAUCCCGCCACCUCCGUCAGGGUUAUGCCACCCCCAGGGAGGAGGGAUGGGUUCGCCCGUGGCCACGGCUGGUUCAACUGGACGGGCAGGUUCUCCUUCUCCUUCUGCCAUCGGACUUUCCUAACAAGCGCACGCACGAACGGGAGGUCUGCGCUUUCUGUUUUCAAGACCCUGCACCACGUUCUCCUCGAGUACUGCAAAUAAAUAAAAACAAUAUUCUUUUUUCGGUUGUUGUCCUGUGCACGUGGUUCUGUGAUCAAUUUGACUCUCUGGAAUUCUAAGCAUGUUCAUGACAAUGACAUAACUAGGAGUUCAAAGAAUUUCCAAAUUUUGGAGUGACAUUUUCUCUCCGAACCACCAACCGACCAGGCAGCAGAGCAACUGUGGAAAGAUGGACACACGUAGAGGUGCACAGGGGACAGUAGAAUGGAGGUUGGACACGGAGGAACAAAACAAAGGAAUACCAGUCAGCAGUUAUUUGAUGUAGAGGCAGCGAGCUUGGACUAUGACAACAGCUGCUAGGAGAACCGAAGCCAAUUCGUUAGAUUGGAAGGCGAGAAAGGAUGACUUACACGAUCUAAUUUGCAUUAAAUAUUUUAGGAUACAUUCCACAGAAAUAAGUUAUAUAACACGUACUGAAUUACUUUGUGUUGCA